RNAcentral lists this ribosomal RNA (993 nucleotides) under uncultured bacterium. RNAcentral's name for it is "bacterial SSU rRNA". It matches the Rfam family "Bacterial small subunit ribosomal RNA", at positions 8 to 981 of the family's 1533-position model. The record is from RNAcentral.
AGAGUUUGAUCAUGGCUCAGAGCGAACGCUGGCGGCGUGCCUAACACAUGCAAGUCGAACGUGAAAGGGAGCAAUCCUGAGUAAAGUGGCGUACGGGUGAGUAACGCGUAGGUAAUCUACCCUAGAGUCUGGAAUAACCUGCCGAAAGGCGGGCUAAUACUGGAUAGAGCGAUGGAAUCCGUAAUUGGGUUUUUCGGGAAAGGGAGCUCGUAAGAGCCUUCGUUUUGGGAUGAGCCUGCGUCUCAUUAGCUAGUUGGUGGGGUAAAGGCCCACCAAGGCGAUGAUGGGUAGCUGGUCUGAGAGGAUGAUCAGCCACACUGGAACUGAAACACGGUCCAGACUCCUACGGGAGGCAGCAGUGGGGAAUCUUGCGCAAUGGACGAAAGUCUGACGCAGCCACGCCGCGUGAGUGAAGAAGGCCUUCGGGUUGUAAAGCUCUGUCGCCCGGGACGAAAAUCUAAGAAGUGAAUAGCUUUUUAGACUGACGGUACCGGGAGAGGAAGCACCGGCUAACUCCGUGCCAGCAGCCGCGGUAAUACGGAGGGUGCAAGCGUUGCUCGGAAUUAUUGGGCGUAAAGGGUAGGUAGGUGGUCUCAUUUGUCUGGGGUGAAAGCCUUGGGCUUAACUCAAGAAGUGCCCCAGAAACGGUGAGACUGGAGUCCUGGAGAGGGUCGUGGAAUUCCCGGUGUAGCGGUGAAAUGCGUAGAGAUCGGGAGGAACACCAGAGGCGAAAGCGGCGACCUGGACAGGCACUGACACUCAACUACGAAAGCGUGGGGAGCAAACAGGAUUAGAUACCCUGGUAGUCCACGCUGUAAACGAUGGGUACUAGGUUUGGUGGGUCUUGACCCCCGCCGAACCGGCGCUAACGCACUAAGUACCCCGCCUGGGAAGUACGGUCGCAAGACUAAACUCAAAGGAAUUGACGGGGGCCCGCACAAGCGGUGGAUCAUGAGUUUAAUUCGAAGCAACGCGAAGAACCUUACCUGGAUU